GCAUAAUAAUUUGUCUUUUAAUUAAAGACUGGAAUGAAUGGAACUACGAGAGUUAAGCUGUUUCCCCCUUAUAAAUAAAAAUUAACCUGUAAGUGAAGAGGCUUAUAUAUAAUAAAAAGACAAAAAGACCCUAUUGAGCUUUACUACACCUCAAGUUUUCCUUGUUAGUAGUUUUGUUGGGGCAACAAGAGAGGAACUUUAUCUUCUCUAAUAUCUUAAACUAAUACAGAUCCGCUAUGCGAUUAUUAGAAAAAGCUACCAUAGGGAUAACAGGCUAAUCCUUCUUAAGAGAUCAAAUUGACAGAAGGGU
Molecule: ribosomal RNA, 310 nt
Filed under: Spio sp. 2573
Lineage: Eukaryota; Metazoa; Annelida; Polychaeta; Spionida; Spionidae
Also listed under: 2 other names
Description: partial 16S ribosomal RNA
Rfam family: Bacterial large subunit ribosomal RNA
Source: RNAcentral